This 497-nucleotide ribosomal RNA is filed under the name uncultured bacterium. Its description in RNAcentral is "partial 16S ribosomal RNA". It matches the Rfam family "Bacterial small subunit ribosomal RNA", at positions 28 to 507 of the family's 1533-position model. The record is from RNAcentral.
GAUGAACGCUGGCGGCGUGCCUAAUACAUGCAAGUCGAGCGAACAGACGAGGAGCUUGCUCCUCUGACGUUAGCGGCGGACGGGUGAGUAACACGUGGAUAACCUACCUAUAAGACUGGGAUAACUUCGGGAAACCGGAGCUAAUACCGGAUAAUAUAUUGAACCGCAUGGUUCAAUAGUGAAAGACGGUUUUGCUGUCACUUAUAGAUGGAUCCGCGCCGCAUUAGCUAGUUGGUAAGGUAACGGCUUACCAAGGCGACGAUGCGUAGCCGACCUGAGAGGGUGAUCGGCCACACUGGAACUGAGACACGGUCCAGACUCCUACGGGAGGCAGCAGUAGGGAAUCUUCCGCAAUGGGCGAAAGCCUGACGGAGCAACGCCGCGUGAGUGAUGAAGGUCUUCGGAUCGUAAAACGCUGUUAUUAGGGAAGAACAAAUGUGUAAGUAAUUAUGCACGUCUUGACGGUACCUAAUCAGAAAGCCACGGCUAACUACGUG